GGAGGGUGACUCAGACGGUUACGAGACAAGUUUGCUAAACUUGCAGGGUGAAAGCCCUGAGUGGGUUCGACUCCCACACCCUCCG
Non-coding RNA from Candidatus Levybacteria bacterium RBG_16_35_6, 85 nucleotides. NCBI's taxonomy places the organism in Bacteria, Candidatus Levyibacteriota. The record is from Rfam.